UUGAAAGGGAAACGAUUGAAGUCAGUCGUACCGACGGAAAAUCAGCUCUUCGAGUGCGGACUUGUGGGCGUACGUGAGCUUUAACCGGCCUCGUCGUUUGCUACGUUUGUGCUUUUUGGGUGUACUUUUUCGUAUGGUAGGCCAACGUCAGUUUCGAUCACCAUAAAAUGAUCGGAGGAAUGUAGCUUCGAUCCUGUAUUGAAGUGUUAUAGCCUUUGGUAGAUGUGGUGACUGAGACUGAGGAUUGCAACGAAUACCCUUUGGGCUAUCCGUCUGACCUCUGAAAGUUGCUUAGGUGCCGAAAGCUUGCUUACGGUCAUCUAUGACGACGGUCAAAAGGUUAGAACGUGAUUAUAUUCGUUAAGGAUGUUGACGUA
This 377-nucleotide ribosomal RNA is filed under the name uncultured Glomeraceae. RNAcentral describes it as "LSU rRNA". Lineage: Eukaryota; Fungi; Glomeromycota; Glomeromycetes; Glomerales; Glomeraceae. The record is from RNAcentral.